RNAcentral lists this long non-coding RNA (1045 nucleotides) under Setaria viridis. RNAcentral describes it as "long non-coding RNA (SVIR_LNC000900)". The record is from RNAcentral. Lineage: Eukaryota; Viridiplantae; Streptophyta; Magnoliopsida; Poales; Poaceae.
AAAUAUGUUUUAAGGAUCUACUUCUAGUAGAAUUUGCCCGUGAAACCCAAGUUAGCAAAAAAUAAAAUCCAAAGAAGGCCUUGCAUGCCCUUAGAGUCUUUUGUUUUUGUUGACGCCAGAUUUUGACACGUGUGUAAUCGGCGUCAGGGAAGGAAGAAAUCAGAAGGAGCGGCGAGACACAGGGGUGGAGGUUGGGAAUCGGCCGAUUGGUGCUACAGUCAUGGAUCGGCCGAUUGACGUUUGGAGUUCCGCCUCGCCCGACCCCUGAGGCCUGGGAUCGGAUGCGCCCGACCCUCCGAGGGAGGAUCUUCGCCUCGCCAGACCCCUGAGGCCUGGGAUCGGAUGCGCCCGACCCUCCGAGGGAGGAUCUCCGCCUCGCCCGACCUUAGGUCCCAGGGUCGGAGUAGUCAGAGCCCCCGACAUGUGGGUCCUAAUCGGCUGUCCCUUGCCGAUGAGGUGAAUAGAAAUCGGCCGAUUAGAAGGCUGGAACAAUUGGGCCGGUGUGGGCCUAAAGAGGAUUAGGAAGAUGAAGAGGGAAUCAGCCCAUGAAGAGCGCGAUAAUCGACCUAGUACGAAUCGUACUUGUAAAUAUUCGUUUUCUGUUUAAAUUUAGGGAUAGAGUUCUAAUCGGAUAAGAAGUCGUUUGUAACAGGCUAUAAAUAGCCACCCUUGUAGAUCUGUAAUCAUCAUCAAAUCAAUAUAACAAACUACUAUUUCCUCGUACUUACUUUCAAGCAGGUGAUUUCGCCAAUACUUCUCUUCUUUUCCACGAGUUCGUACAAGUUGGCUGGGCUACAUCGACUUGACCUCCGGCUGAUUCUGUAAGUUCCGUUUACCGAGUAACAUCUAAGCUUUAACUUCGGGCGCAUCACUAUCGUUUCGUUUAGAUUUAUUCACCAGUUAUCGAUAUUCACUAGAAUUCUAGGUUUUACCUGUUGUUCUAGUUUUAUCACCAGUUAUCCAGCUAGGAAUUGGAGCUUUCGGCUUUCUUGUGCUUCGUUAUUCAAUCUAUUAUUUUACGCAUAGCCGAUUUAGAUCUAUUCUU